RNAcentral lists this long non-coding RNA (842 nucleotides) under Capsella grandiflora. Its description in RNAcentral is "long non-coding RNA (CGRA_LNC000064)". Lineage: Eukaryota; Viridiplantae; Streptophyta; Magnoliopsida; Brassicales; Brassicaceae. The record is from RNAcentral.
AUUGACAUGGAUAGAUUAAUAAUUAAAAAGAUUUGAAUAAAUUAUUUACAUCCCAAUGGUCCAAAACCAUUGAACCACUCGUCCUUUCGUCUCGUCUCUUCCCACAUAAAACAAGAACAACCACCAAAAAAACGAUGUGACAUAUACUUAUAAACAAACAAGACCACCAUUAUCAAUAAUCAAAGCUACAAAGACCAAAAGAAAGAAGAAGAAGCAUAAGGUUUUGUUUCUAUGAUCCUGAAAUGGGAUUGAAAGAGCAACAAAAUUGUCUGAGUCAUAGGAAGAUUAUAGUUUUCUUAGUCUUAGCUUUUAUACCAUUAGCUCUGUUUCGACUCUGUUUUAAUAAUCCUUUCUCCUCCACCAUUGAUGACACCUCUCUCCAAGACUCUUCAGCUCACGUUGUGAUCACCAGCUUCUCUUCUUCUUCUUCUCAAGGUAACAUCGAACUUAUCCAAUAUUGUUUGUGUGUAUGCAAACACAAUGGUUUUUAAACUUUAGAACUGUUGUCUAAAUCUGCAGAAGAAGAAACUCAAGAGAGCUUUGAUCGUGUAAAGGACGAACCUUUAUGCGAUUACACGCAAGGGAAAUGGGUCAGGGACGAGAUUGGUCCACUCUACAAUGGUUCGACCUGUGGAACAAUCAAGGAUGGUCAGAACUGUUUCCGCCAUGGUAGACCUGAUUCUGGUUAUCUUUAUUGGAAAUGGAAACCGAACCAAUGCGAUAUACCGAGAUUCGACGCUAACCGGUUUCUUGAUCUUAUGAGAGACAAGCAUCUAGCUUUCAUCGGCGACUCCAUGGCUAGAAACCAGCUUGAGUCUCUUAUGUGCUUGCUCUCUACCGUC